GAGACACUGAACAGACUAACUUGGCUGC
This 28-nucleotide non-coding RNA is filed under the name Rattus norvegicus (Norway rat). The record is from RNAcentral. Lineage: Eukaryota; Metazoa; Chordata; Mammalia; Rodentia; Muridae.